RNAcentral lists this ribosomal RNA (1131 nucleotides) under Acinetobacter kyonggiensis. Its description in RNAcentral is "bacterial SSU rRNA". It matches the Rfam family "Bacterial small subunit ribosomal RNA", at positions 93 to 1217 of the family's 1533-position model. The record is from RNAcentral. Lineage: Bacteria; Pseudomonadati; Pseudomonadota; Gammaproteobacteria; Moraxellales; Moraxellaceae.
UAGCGGCGGACGGGUGAGUAAUACUUAGGAAUCUGCCUAUUAGUGGGGGACAACAUUUCGAAAGGAAUGCUAAUACCGCAUACGCCCUACGGGGGAAAGCAGGGGAUCACUUGUGACCUUGCGCUAAUAGAUGAGCCUAAGUCAGAUUAGCUAGUUGGUGGGGUAAAGGCCUACCAAGGCGACGAUCUGUAACGGGUCUGAGAGGAUGAUCCGUCACACUGGGACUGAGACACGGCCCAGACUCCUACGGGAGGCAGCAGUGGGGAAUAUUGGACAAUGGGGGGAACCCUGAUCCAGCCAUGCCGCGUGUGUGAAGAAGGCCUUUUGGUUGUAAAGCACUUUAAGCGAGGAGGAGGCUCUUUAAGUUAAUACCUAGGAUGAGUGGACGUUACUCGCAGAAUAAGCACCGGCUAACUCUGUGCCAGCAGCCGCGGUAAUACAGAGGGUGCAAGCGUUAAUCGGAUUUACUGGGCGUAAAGCGUGCGUAGGUGGUCUUUUAAGUCGGAUGUGAAAUCCCUGAGCUUAACUUAGGAAUUGCAUUCGAUACUGGGAGACUAGAGUAUGGGAGAGGAUGGUAGAAUUCCAGGUGUAGCGGUGAAAUGCGUAGAGAUCUGGAGGAAUACCGAUGGCGAAGGCAGCCAUCUGGCCUAAUACUGACACUGAGGUACGAAAGCAUGGGGAGCAAACAGGAUUAGAUACCCUGGUAGUCCAUGCCGUAAACGAUGUCUACUAGCCGUUGGGGUCUUUGAGACUUUAGUGGCGCAGCUAACGCGAUAAGUAGACCGCCUGGGGAGUACGGUCGCAAGACUAAAACUCAAAUGAAUUGACGGGGGCCCGCACAAGCGGUGGAGCAUGUGGUUUAAUUCGAUGCAACGCGAAGAACCUUACCUGGUCUUGACAUAGUAAGAACUUUCCAGAGAUGGAUUGGUGCCUUCGGGAGCUUACAUACAGGUGCUGCAUGGCUGUCGUCAGCUCGUGUCGUGAGAUGUUGGGUUAAGUCCCGCAACGAGCGCAACCCUUUUCCUUAUUUGCCAGCGGGUUAAGCCGGGAACUUUAAGGAUACUGCCAGUGACAAACUGGAGGAAGGCGGGGACGACGUCAAGUCAUCAUGGCCCUUACGACCAGGGCUAC